Molecule: small nuclear RNA, 107 nt
Filed under: Salvator merianae (Argentine black and white tegu)
Lineage: Eukaryota; Metazoa; Chordata; Lepidosauria; Squamata; Teiidae
Source: RNAcentral
GUGCUUGCUUCGGCAGCACGUACACUAAAACUGGAACAAUACAAAGAAAAUUAGCUUGGUCCCUNUUCAAGGAUGACACACAAAUUUGUGAAGCAUCCCAUUAUUUU